AGUGGCACACUGUACUCAAAAUAGCCUCAGAAAAUAGGAUAGUUAUGGAGAUUUUGCAGCAAUCUCCCUCAAACUGGUACCCACUACAUGUCUUAAGACUACAACUCCCGUCAACCCGAGCAAGGCAUGGCUGAUUCACAGGCACAAAGUUUUUCACAGGGAGGUGCUCCUCCGCAACCACAGCCAGGAGCAUUAAAGUUAUCCCAGUGCU
Molecule: long non-coding RNA, 211 nt
Organism: Lacerta agilis (Sand lizard)
Lineage: Eukaryota; Metazoa; Chordata; Lepidosauria; Squamata; Lacertidae
Exons: 2
Source: RefSeq, a predicted model, not a curated record